Non-coding RNA from Mycena vulgaris, 95 nucleotides. The record is from the annotation of a GenBank genome assembly. NCBI's taxonomy places the organism in Eukaryota, Fungi, Basidiomycota, Agaricomycetes, Agaricales, Mycenaceae.
GGCUGUGUAGUGUAGCGGUUAUCACUUCAGAUUCUGACGGGGGUAUAUUCGUACCAGUAAUUCUGGCGACCCCGGUUCGAUUCCGGGCACGGCCU